Sinocyclocheilus anshuiensis is the source of this 1681-nucleotide long non-coding RNA. The record is from Ensembl. Lineage: Eukaryota; Metazoa; Chordata; Actinopteri; Cypriniformes; Cyprinidae.
UGCCUGUGUUGUACACAGCUGUCUUGCAGUUGAGCUAUCUGUGGAUUUAUUUAAUAAACCUUGUUUUAUUUUCAUCAUCGUCUUCAUCCUUUGGACUAAUCGUGACAGAAUACCAGACCCAAAAAAUGAGAAGAAGAACUAUGGACAUUGCUUCCAUGAAUGUUGCCCCGACGAGAGGUAAUAAGUUACUGGAAGGAGGAACAGUGUUUGUGUUCCAGCAAGGCAGAGACUUGGAGCUUUACGUGGAGGAGUUCCUCGACAUCUGCCAUCUUGCCACCUGUGACAACGUCUGUCUAAUGGAGGGAUUUUGGUGUGGACUGGACGAAGAUCUCCGCUUCGUCAUGCCCCGCGGUGCUCUCUGCUGGACCCUGGAGGCUUACAUCAAAUUCGCACUGUGGAAAUAUGGAUCCACGUUCGCAGUGGGCGGAGCAGAGGAUGAUAGCAGCCUCGUCCAGCCACACCGAACAGACGUCGCACAGCCAGACCCAGAGCAUAGCCCACCAUCACCUCUCACUAUGGAGAUGACAACGCCAGAGCCCCCCACAGACGGGGAGCUUCCGCCCGCUGCGAGAACGGAGCCUGUGACGGCAGCGCCCACUAACGCCCUGGAGCCGAAGCCCCUAUGUGAGUGUGUCCAGGGGUGUGAGCCGGCAACAGCCGUCCCUGCGGGAAAUAUGGUGGACAUUGAUUCUGGGGAGGACUGGCUCAUUAACUGGGACACGGAAAUACUGCUUCCCACCCUACCCCACCCUGAUAUCGCUACACUUUCUUCAUCGUCGCUGGUUCUAGCCAGCACAAAGACUGAUUCUUCACCCGAUAUGAACUGUGAAUUAUUAUCUGUGAUCCCAGACAACCUCACUCUCCUACCUCCACUACCGACCCCAGCCAGUCCUACAGCCCUUUCUCAGCUGGAUGCCUGCAGCCCUGUAUCUUCCCUUGUGAUGCCUUGCAGUGACGUAAAGCCUCAGGUCAUACAGUCACCAGCCUUGCCUGAGUCAGUGGAUUAUAUAGCUCAGCCUCCAGUCUCUGAUCCCUUCCCUCCACCUUGGCCCGUCGACAUGUCGGCUCCGCCUUGGCUCCUCCCUCUUUUGGCUCCACCAGAGACCCUCGGCCCCCUUGGCUCCUCCCUCCAUCGACUCCGCCGUGGGCUGUCAUCCUUGCUGCGCUCUGGGUCUGCAACACCUGGCCACUCCUCCCAUCAUCGACCCCAUGGUUGCUCCCACCAUCUGUGCCUCCAUGGAGUCUCUGCUUAUCUGCCUGCCUGUUCUCAACAGCCCUCUGCCUGCUCCUCCUCUCCAGCCCUUCUCCAGCUCCUCGCCCUCCUCCAAAGCCCCCACCAUCCCUCCCUUACCUCUUCAUUUACGGCACGAGGUCGUGCCUUCCAGGAGGGGGCAUUAUGUCACGAUUCUGUUUAGUUAGUUUCAUCAUCAUGGACUAUUAGUUUUGUUUUCAUGGAUUUGUCAUUGGGUUUCUUCGGUCACAUGUCUUCCUUUUGUUCAGUUUUCCCGCCACUCUUUAGCUGUCAUGGUAAUUAAUUGAAUCUACUCAGGUGUUCAUUGUUAUUGCCCUUAUUUGUCUUAGAUUUAAGUUGCUGCUGUUUAACCUUUCAUUUGUCUGGUAUUGCCUGUGUUGUACACAGCUGUCUUGCAGUUGAACUAUCUGUGGAUUUAUUUAAUAAACC